CAAAAAAGCACUGAUUACCUGUAUAUUCUUUAACAAUAACGGUUUACUAUUCUCAGGAAUUAGUCAUUCAAAAGACGGUGAGGAAAAGAAUGGUCGACAAACCUUGUGUGGUGCCUUAACAGUCCAUCAGACUAAGGGAUAGAUAAAGGUAGAUCUUGAUUACACUGCCUGGUUUUGUGGUUUGCACGAGACGGUUGACACAAUGAUCUGAAGUUCAAACUGCCAUUUUCUACUGUCCGCUGCAAGAUCUUGGCUGGAAUGUAAAAGGAAUGUCCAAAAUAUUUAAAUGACAAACAGGAUGGGAACUGAUAAUGAGGAAUAUGCUGAAACAGACAUCUGGCAUAUUCCUAUAAUCAGUAUCAUGGCCUUUGUAUACAACAAAAUUGAUUGGAACUCCUAGACUAGAAAUAUAAUUCAAGAUUUAAAUAAGGCACUGGUCAUAGUUUUAGAAAGUGUGGCUAGCAUUCUGAAGGAAGACAGAGAGAUGGAAAGACAUCAAAGAAUGGGCAGGUCUGCCAAGAAAUGGUUUAUCCAGGGCUAAGUACAGAGAGGAAUAUAGAAGGGCUGUUGACAGAUCUUGUGUGGUGCCCCCAUGGUUCAACAGACUAAUUGAUUGAAAAUAAUACCAGGGUUAUGCUCCUUUGACCAUUGAGUUCCAGGAUGAAGAAUGAAAGACAGAGAGCAAUGUGAAGACAUGAAAGAAUGGGCAGGUCUGCCAUGAAAUGGUUUAUCCAGGGCUAAGUACAGAGAGGAAUAUAGAAGGGCUGUUGACAGAUCUUGUGUGGUGCCCCCAUGGUUCAACAGACUGAUUGAUAGGUAAUGGUAA
This is a long non-coding RNA of Biomphalaria glabrata, 826 nucleotides long. RefSeq lists it as uncharacterized. The transcript has 5 exons. NCBI's taxonomy places the organism in Eukaryota, Metazoa, Mollusca, Gastropoda, Planorbidae. The record is from RefSeq and is a predicted model, not a curated record.